CUGCUCUCUGAAAAAAAACUGGAGGAUCCAAACUGCUCACUGGACAAACUCAAUGUGGAUCAUGGAGGACAGUUCAGGAUUACAGCAGGACCACGAAAAUAUGCCUGUUUACUCACACUGGAUCCAAACACAGCAAGCACUGGUAUCAGUCUGUCUGAGGAGAACAGAAAGGUGACAGGUGUGAUAAAGUAUAGUCAUAGUAGUAGUCGUCUAUACAUAUCUAAUCAAUAUCCUCAGGUGUUGUGUAGAGAGAGUGUGUGUGGACGCUGUUACUGGGAGAUUGAGUGGAGUGGACGUGUGUAUAUAUCAGUGUCAUAUAAGAGCAUCAGCAGGAAUAGAGGUCAGGAGUGUUGGUUUGGAAAUAAUGAGCAGUCCUGGAGUUUGUUCUGCUCUUCCUCCAGUUACUCAUUCACACACAAUAACAUAAAGACUGAUCUCCCUGUGGAGUCCAUCAGCAGGAGAAUAGGAGUGUUUGUGGAUCACAGUGCAGGAACUCUGUCCUUCUACAG
Cyprinus carpio (common carp) is the source of this 509-nucleotide long non-coding RNA. RefSeq lists it as uncharacterized. The transcript has 3 exons. The record is from RefSeq and is a predicted model, not a curated record. Lineage: Eukaryota; Metazoa; Chordata; Actinopteri; Cypriniformes; Cyprinidae.